UCCCGGGCCCCAGCCUCACCACCAAGCCCCGUUUCCAUUUAAAAUACCCAGCGCGUAGAUGGGCCCUCCCCGGCUCGGGCGCUGGGAGGGGUCGGUCAGCAGGUUGGCUGCCUGAUGGAUUGUUAGACGUAUUCGCCUGGCUCAUCUGGGCUCCAAGUCACGGGACAAACGCACAUGCCACACCCUCCCGAGACACCUGUCCCCCCACCCGCAGGCCACCCGGCCCAGUUAGGACCUCAAGACAUGCUUACUAUCCAGCUUGAAAACGGAUCUUCUCUAAGAAAUUCCCGCUUGGAAUCAGUUCCAAAAGAAAACCCUAGUAAGCAGCUAGAGCCCAGAUCUGUGUCUGGAGGGUUGUCUGCAGCAGCAGAAACCCCCGGGGGCAACAAGGGCAGGGCCACAGAGCUGAAGGCACCCCUGACGGUUCACUUCGAAAUCCGCCACGCUGCGCAGCCACAAGGACUUGGCAGUCGCCACCAGCCAUGGAUGGAAGCUUGCUUUGAGUCGUUCGGGUUAAUAAAAUGAUUUCUCAUGGAA
Long non-coding RNA from Myotis davidii, 537 nucleotides. RefSeq lists it as uncharacterized. Lineage: Eukaryota; Metazoa; Chordata; Mammalia; Chiroptera; Vespertilionidae. The transcript is spliced from 2 exons. The record is from RefSeq and is a predicted model, not a curated record.